Molecule: ribosomal RNA, 449 nt
Filed under: Indothais lacera
Lineage: Eukaryota; Metazoa; Mollusca; Gastropoda; Neogastropoda; Muricidae
Description: partial 16S ribosomal RNA
Rfam family: Bacterial large subunit ribosomal RNA
Source: RNAcentral
GCGGUACUCUGACCGUGCAAAGGUAGCAUAAUCAUUUGCCUUAUAAUUGAAGGCUAGUAUGAAUGGUUUGACGAGAAUUAAGCUGUCUCUUCUCAAUUAAAUAUAAUUUUAUUAACAGGUGAAGAAGCCUGUGUGUUAUUGAAAGACAAGAAGACCCUAUCGAGCUUUAAGGAAUUCAAUAGAUUUAUUAUAUAUUUAUAUAAAUAUAAAACUAUUGAAAACUUUGGUUGGGGCGACUGAGGAACAAAAAAAGCUUCCUUUAUAUCUUUAGAACCUACAAGUAUUGAUCCAAUAAAUUUGAUUAAAGGAAUUAGUUACCGUAGGGAUAACAGCAUAAUCUUCUUUGAGAGUUCUUAUCGAAAAGGAGGUUUGUGACCUCGAUGUUGGACCAGAAUACCCAGAAGAUGUAGCCGUCUUCAAUGGUUGGUCUGUUCGACCAUUAAAAUUCU